This 327-nucleotide ribosomal RNA is filed under the name uncultured bacterium. RNAcentral describes it as "bacterial SSU rRNA". It matches the Rfam family "Bacterial small subunit ribosomal RNA", at positions 30 to 354 of the family's 1533-position model. The record is from RNAcentral.
AUUGAACGCUGGCGGCAUGCCUUACACAUGCAAGUCGAACGGCAGCACGGGAGCUUGCUCCUGGUGGCGAGUGGCGAACGGGUGAGUAAUAUAUCGGAACGUGCCCAGUCGUGGGGGAUAACGUAGCGAAAGCUACGCUAAUACCGCAUACGAUCUACGGAUGAAAGCGGGGGAUCGCAAGACCUCGCGCGAUUGGAGCGGCCGAUAUCAGAUUAGGUAGUUGGUGAGGUAAAGGGCUCACCAAGCCGACGAUCUGUAGCUGGUCUGAGAGGACGACCAGCCACACUGGGACUGAGACAGGCCCCAGACUCCUACGGGAGGCAGCAG